AAACCUGAGAAACCCAAAAGAUCGAAUGGGGAGAUUCAUCGUCAGCGGUGUUAGCUUCCGUGUGGAUCGCGAUGGCCGGGACCUAGGUUCCGCGUCACGCGUCCGCUGCGGUAUGUCCGACAUCGUCGGCGUGCACUUCUCCCCUAGUAGGACGUCGCGACCCGUUGGGUGCCGGCCUACGGCCCGGUUGGUCGACUGUCGCGUCGCGUUUACGCGUGCACGCGGCAGACCACUGGUUGCCCGGCCGGCUGCCCGGCGGUAUAGAUCGCUAUAAAACGGUAUUGGGCCGCAUUAAGUGCGUUCUGGCUCGUCGGCAGGCUCGUCUCGCUCGGAUUUACGGACCUAGUGCCGUUGCCGGGCGCUUGGCGUGGCCGUUAGUCGACGAUGUCCUCGGACUGGCUCUUACAUUCGAACGGAUUUACCGGUCAGCGACGCUACUGCUUUGGGUACUUU
This 453-nucleotide ribosomal RNA is filed under the name Spaniopus peisonis. RNAcentral describes it as "eukaryotic LSU rRNA". Lineage: Eukaryota; Metazoa; Arthropoda; Insecta; Hymenoptera; Pteromalidae. The record is from RNAcentral.